UAAAAGACAGGAGCUGUUCUGGUGCAGUU
This 29-nucleotide non-coding RNA is filed under the name Rattus norvegicus (Norway rat). Lineage: Eukaryota; Metazoa; Chordata; Mammalia; Rodentia; Muridae. The record is from RNAcentral.